RNAcentral lists this small nuclear RNA (95 nucleotides) under Fukomys damarensis (Damara mole-rat). RNAcentral's name for it is "U2 spliceosomal RNA". It matches the Rfam family "U2 spliceosomal RNA". From Rfam's summary of the family: U2 is a small nuclear RNA (snRNA) component of the spliceosome (involved in pre-mRNA splicing). Complementary binding between U2 snRNA (in an area lying towards the 5' end but 3' to hairpin I) and the branchpoint sequence (BPS) of the intron results the bulging out of an unpaired adenosine, on the BPS, which initiates a nucleophilic attack at the intronic 5' splice site, thus starting the first of two transesterification reactions that mediate splicing. Lineage: Eukaryota; Metazoa; Chordata; Mammalia; Rodentia; Bathyergidae. The record is from Rfam by way of RNAcentral.
AUCACUUCUCGGCCUUUUGGCUAAGAUCAAGUGUAGUAUAAUGUGGAUAUUGUGAGGCUGGAAUAUUGUUAAAUUAAGAUUGGUGGUAAAUUCUC